CUCUUUGGAAUUCGUAAAUGGCACUGAUCCUCACCCAUUGAAUUCGAAGCUAUAAAGUUUCUUAGGCACACGUUUGCCCACUCUCCGGGAUCGUCAGUAGUGUGGGCUGGAAUUAACAAACCUGGGCUUUUAACACAGCUCCCUGGUUAACUGGUUGGUAGCCGAUGACUCGAGGCACCUUUAUCUACCUGCUCUGACGUUUUAGUCUGCAAAAUAGAACUAUCCUUGUGUUCCUGAGAGAAACUUUUAUAAUGACAAAACGGUAUAAAAGUCUGGCACCUCACACAGUAGCUUUCAAAUACUAGUUAAUCCAAUCGUGAUGAAAGUCAAAAUAUUAGGCUAGCAGUUGAAGGUGGGUUGGCCAAGGGGGGAGUUGUCCUGUACCAAUUAAAAAAUACUAUAUCUUGCGAAAGGUUUAGGUCAGGGAAGUGUCUGCAGCUAUCAGAACUCAUGGAAUAGAACAGUUAUGAUUUGUACAUUUUAUUGUAUGUAAAUUUACCUAAAAAGGAUGUAAUGCCGUAGGAAAUUAAGAAAGUAAAAAAGAGGAAGUGAAUUACUGUCCUUAAUAUUUUCUCAUAAUGUUCCUUACAAAAUUAGGGCAGGCAGGGCACAGUGUCUAGUGCCUUUAAUCCUAGCACUUGGGAGGACAAAGCCAGCCUAGUCUACAAAUUGAGUCCCAGGACAGCCAGUGCUUGUUACACAAAGAGCCCCUGUUUUGAAAACAAACAAAAACAAAACAAAAGAAAAGAACUAAAUUAGGACUGUGUAACUUAUUUGUUAGAGAGCUUACCUGACAUGCAUAAAGCCACGGGUUUGAUCCCCUGCACCGAAUAAACAUAGAGUAGUGGCACUUCUCUGUAACCCAGCACUCAGGAGAAUGCAAGCAGGAAGAUUAAGUGUUCAGAACCAACUUCAGCUACCUAAAGAAUUAAAGGCCAGCUUGGGAUAUGUGAGAACCCAUGGAAGAAAAGAACAGAUAAAUCAUGAUGGAGCCAGGGAUAGUGGCUCACACCUGUAAUCUCAGAACAUGGGAGGCUCAAGAAGUCAGGACAUUUACUUCAAAUUGGAGGUCAACCUGGGCUACAAGAUGAAACUGUCUCAAAAGGUCACAGGUCAUCAGCUCAGUGGCUCAUAGAGCUGGCCUGGAACUAUGUGAACAAGACUGAACCAGACUGUCCUCCUGCCUUGGCAUCCCCAACACUGGGAUUAAAACCCAAGACUACCAGCCCAUGGAUGGCACCACCCGCAAUGAGCACUCCCCCCUUGA
Mastomys coucha (southern multimammate mouse) is the source of this 1267-nucleotide long non-coding RNA. RefSeq lists it as uncharacterized. NCBI's taxonomy places the organism in Eukaryota, Metazoa, Chordata, Mammalia, Rodentia, Muridae. The transcript is spliced from 3 exons. The record is from RefSeq and is a predicted model, not a curated record.